UGGGGAAUAUUGCACAAUGGGCGCAAGCCUGAUGCAGCCAUGCCGCGUGUGUGAAGAAGGCCUUCGGGUUGUAAAGCACUUUCAGCGAGGAGGAAGGCAUUCUACUUAAUAAGUAGGGUGAUUGACGUUACUCGCAGAAGAAGCACCGGCUAACUCCGUGCCAGCAGCCGCGGUAAUACGGAGGGUGCAAGCGUUAAUCGGAAUUACUGGGCGUAAAGCGCACGCAGGCGGUUUGUUAAGUCAGAUGUGAAAUCCCCGCGCUUAACGUGGGAACUGCAUUUGAAACUGGCAAGCUAGAGUCUUGUAGAGGGGGGUAGAAUUCCAGGUGUAGCGGUGAAAUGCGUAGAGAUCUGGAGGAAUACCGGUGGCGAAGGCGGCCCCCUGGACAAAGACUGACGCUCAGGUGCGAAAGCGUGGGGAGCAAACAGG
RNAcentral lists this ribosomal RNA (429 nucleotides) under uncultured bacterium. RNAcentral describes it as "bacterial SSU rRNA". It matches the Rfam family "Bacterial small subunit ribosomal RNA", at positions 355 to 776 of the family's 1533-position model. The record is from RNAcentral.